GUCUGGUCCGAAGGUAGUAAGUUAUCUCAUUUGAUUAUUCACAGUCAGUUACAGAUUGAACUCCUUGUUCUACUACUUUCCCCCCUCCUCACUACACUUGACUAGUCUAAA
Molecule: Y RNA, 111 nt
Filed under: Propithecus coquereli (Coquerel's sifaka)
Lineage: Eukaryota; Metazoa; Chordata; Mammalia; Primates; Indriidae
Description: Y RNA (ENSPCOG00000007690.1)
Rfam family: Y RNA
About the family: Y RNAs are components of the Ro ribonucleoprotein particle (Ro RNP), in association with Ro60 and La proteins. The Y RNAs and Ro60 and La proteins are well conserved, but the function of the Ro RNP is not known.
Source: Rfam by way of RNAcentral